This 664-nucleotide long non-coding RNA is filed under the name Amborella trichopoda. RNAcentral describes it as "long non-coding RNA (ATRI_LNC000038)". The record is from RNAcentral. Lineage: Eukaryota; Viridiplantae; Streptophyta; Magnoliopsida; Amborellales; Amborellaceae.
AUGAAUCGCCAUUCAGCAUUUAAUUUACAUCACACAAAAGGAUAAAUAUAGAAUUAUCAUGGAAUAAGUAUAUCAACAUACAUGGACUACAAUAAAGCAUAAAAUUAAUAACAUACGAUCUAAAAAUAAAAUGAUAGACGACGUUAUUGUUCUUCUUGGUCACGUUGGUGCCAUUGAUUGAAUUUGUUUAACAAUUCAUUGAUUCGAUCUAAAAACGAAUCAUUGAUAUUAGCAGGCGUCUGACUAUUCUCAAAUCUCUGAGUAUUAGUGUUUUGUUGUGUUCCCAAUCUAAAAUCCCCGAAGAUUGUCAAUCCGUCAUGCUCACCUGCACUGUUGCUGUUGGGACUCGAUAUCUGAAUAAUAUGGCUGGGAUAGGGUGGCAUCAGAAUCAUCAUCUCUCUCAUUUUCUCUUUGAAUAAUAUGGAUUAAAAAAUAAUAAUAACAAAUUUUCAAAAAAAUCGAUCAUGGAUUAAAAAAAAAAAUCACAAAUUUUCAAAAAAUUCUAUCAUGGAUUACAAAAAAAAAUUCGAUCAUGGAUUACAAAAAAAAAUCACAAAUUUUCAAAAAAUUCAAUCAUGGAUUACAAAAAAUUCGAUCAUGGAUUACAUAAAAUUCAAUCAUGGAUUACAUACAAUUCGAUCAUGGAUUACAAAUAAAAAAAAAA